Molecule: long non-coding RNA, 502 nt
Filed under: Sparus aurata (gilthead seabream)
Lineage: Eukaryota; Metazoa; Chordata; Actinopteri; Spariformes; Sparidae
Description: lncRNA (ENSSAUG00010013168.1)
Source: RNAcentral
GAGUCUAGCCCUGAGAGGCCUCAGGACUUCCACCAAGGCAUGGUGGAGCUGAGCUUCACCCCUGAACAGAACAGUCCUGAACAGUCUCACUGCCUCUCACACCUCAAGUGAAUUGUUGGAGCUGUCUGCUGCGAUCCCGUUAGCACUGCACUGAGUUUGGUGUUCAGAACUGUGCAGAAAGUUGACCAAGAAGCAGCUUCAAGUGGAGCGAACUUUGAGGAGAGAUGCCUUGUUUCACAGAAACCAAACAAAGGUGAUGGAUGAGUCGAAAGGAAGAAUCCCCAAGACGAGCAGUCCAGAUAAGCAAGACGAGCCAAACCCUGGAGACGAGCCACAACAGGAUCCUGAAGCAGCAAGAACACUCAGUGUCUGAGUGUCCGUCUUCUGACGACAACUCCUUCAAGUCAUGCAGUUGUUUGUUGACUAUGGUUUCACCUGCUCAGAAACAGUGUGGGAAAACACAGUACAUCACAUCGUGGGUGCAGCCUGUGAGUUAAGCUCC